AAGCAUUCUCGUGUUGUAAAGGGGAAACUAAGGCUUUGAGAGGAGUGUGGCUUGCACAGUGUCACGUAGCUAGUGGCAGCACUGCCAGAAUUCAAACCCAAAAGUCUCUGGCUCCAAAGUCUGUGCUUGUAAAGCGAUACUAUUUUGUCUACCUCAUGGCUUUCAGGAUGGGAAAGAAAGCAAUAGGGUUUUAAAAUAUGUUCUCUCCCCUUCUUUUUUUUAAGGGUAUUUAUUACUAAAAGUGUUUUAAAACUGGACCACUGAGUAAAGUCACUCCAUCUCCUACUGUUCCUAGCACAGUGCUUGAUAAAUAUUUGCUGGCUCAUUCAGCUGCAGCUGCAGAGACCUACCUGUGUUUGCUGUGGCGACUGUCCGGGCCAAAGCUCAGGCAGCUGGAAGUAUCAGUGAAGCCAGAAGAUUCUAGCUGUUCAGGGUCUGUGAGGAGGAGUCAAGGUCUGGGGUUUGUGUCCUCUGGCAUAGCAAUGGCACUGCAAUGGGGGAGCCUGUUGCUGGGCUGGGCCAUCUCGCCACUGUCACCUGCCUGUUGAGGGGUGACGGUGGUUGUUGAGAGGCUGGAUCAGACCCCAGAGGUGACAUGGAUGUGGCAUAUUUGUUGGACUUACACAGCCUUGCAUUUUAUUUUCAUCUCUGUUCCUUCCUCCCAUGAGAUCUUGGGUGGUGUUUAUCAACCCUGAGUAAUCGUUUCUUUGUCUGCAAGAUGGAAUAAAAAGGCCUACCUCAUUGGGCUCGUGUGGGUGAGGAGAACUGAAGAGUCUGAGAGCGCGGCACGAGCCAGAGGCUACGGAAAACACUGCCCUCCUACACUCCACCUUGGAGAGACCCAGAAAAGAACAAGCUUCAUUUGUAAAAAAGGAAAACAACUCAGGCAAUGGGGGUGGCUUAAAGGCACUCUACAGUGUGCAGAUGCCUUCCACUUCUUCCAUCUGCCCUGUCUCUCCAAGAACCCCUAUGGCCCCGGUCUCAGAACAGAGCUGAGUGCAGAAAUGAAAAUCUAUGGCUCUGUGUUCCAAAACGAUGAAGAAUUUCAAGAUGGUGGCAGUGGUAAAAUCUUUCUCCAGGAAAAAUCUGUCCUUGGCCCAAUGUGUAAACACUUGCUGAGUAUUGUGAAACCAGCAACUUGUUCACAAUUCUUCUGAAUUUCUUGGGAAAUUUGAAGUGGAGUACCUGUACCAACAUGAAAUGACACGAAUUUAAGUGACGCUCAACAACGAAAAGCAAAAAGAACCAAAGAGGAAGCAACUGAAACAACAUCUGGAUGUAUUUAAAAAUAUACAAUGCCUCCAAAAUCAGGUGUCAUUAAUGAAAAUUCUGAAGAAAUGCCACCGGACAUAGCCAACGCACCUACGCUGUUGUUAUUCAUUUCCUGCUUUUCACAGAAAACAAUUUUGUUGCAUGGAAGAUCGUGAACUUCAAAGGGCAGAGGGGAAACUGUCCCUUGGCCUCUACCCCUCCAAGGCCCCACUUUUUUGUCAACACUCCUUGGACGCAGCAGAAGUAUGAACAUAAUAUGGUCCUGAAUGAGGCUGAGUCUUUGGGCGCAGAAGACCCGGGUUAAUAAAAAUAGGAAGGUAAGAAAAGAAAAGAAAAAUCAAGACACAUCAUAGGACUAAAUUCCUAUUAUUUAUCCACUCAGGAUUGACCACCCCUUUGGGCCAGAUAGUUGUACCCCCAUGUACCAGGUGGGCACAUGAAGACACAAGAAGUGCUGUGAUGGUUCAUUUUGCACGUCACCUUGCGUGGAGUAUGCCAACUCAUUGUUUGGUCAAACACUAGUCUGGACAUGGUGGUAAAGGUAUUUUUUAGAUGAGAUUAACACUUAAAUCAGUAAAGCAGGUUACCCACCAUACUACGGGUGGGCCCUGUCCAAUCAGUUGAAGGCAUUAAGAACAAAGAUUGAGGUUUCCUAAAGAAGAUGGAAUUCUCCUUGAGACUACAACAUAGAAACCCUAUCUGAGUUUCCAGCCUGUUGCCCUGUGGAAUUCAAACUCAGGACUCCGGUCUAUGACAUUAACCCUCACUUAACUUUUCAGCCUGCCAGCCUGCCCUAUGGAUUUCGGACUUGCCAGCCACACAAUUCCUUAAAAUAAAUCUCUCCGUCUCUGUCUGUUUCUCUCUGUCUAUAUACACACCUGCAUGCAUAUAUACAUAUAUAUAUGUAUGCAUCUAUAUAUUUAUAUCUAAUCUCGUAUUGCUUAUUGGUUCUGUUUCUCUGUAGAACUCUGCCUAAUACAGCUGAAGAUGUAUUCUCUUUAGAAAGCUUGCAAUUACUGGGGAACAAUCAGUACAGAAGUCGACAAUUACAGAAAGGGGACUAGGGUAAUAUGGUGGCCAAUGUCCUUGUGAGUAGUGGUGACAGAGGGCAACAAGUUAGAGACUGCCAAGGGAAAGUCAAGAGCAAGGGAAACAGAGAUGAAGUAGGUUCAGCCAGGCCCCACCACCUACCCAGACUAAACCUGGAGAGUCUCUUUUCCCUUUAGUCUUUUAAAAAUAUUUUAUUUCUGUACUUCAAUGGAUGCAAGCCCCUAAGUCCUGAAGGAUCUGUUGUUUGUUGUGUUACUCCAAGCAAGUAUUAGCCUAGAAGGGACCUCACCUCCCAACAAUGAAAUGCAACUCUUACAUUUUAUAGAUUGGGAAACCAAGUCUCUGAGAGCUUUCUAUUAAAGUGACAAAGGUACUGGAUCAUGGUAAGCAGGAAUAUGUACCCAAAGGAGUAAUAGCAGCUGUUCAUAUGCAUUUUAUUCUAAUGCGCCUUCCUGUGAUCAUGUUAAAUGAAUUCCUGGGUUUUUACCAAACUUGACUCUUUUGAGAAAGAACCAAAGGAGCUAAACCAAACAACUCUUGGGGAUGGAUCUGCAAAUGUUACUCCUGAGCUAUGGGGGCUCCAGGUCCACCUCACAUUGCCCCCUGCAGUCACCCUCAUCCAGCCCUAGCCCCCAGGCAGAUUGUCCCUGCAGACUGGCAAAGUCAUUUCCAGGUGUGGUCUCAGAGAACCUCUCUCUGGAAUGGUAGAAGGGUUUGUAGCCAUAAGAGCUGAUAUCAAGGGGGCUUCUAGAAAUCUAGAAAAUUUAAUUCCCCAGAAUGUGCCUGAGAGUUAGUUUCUCCUCUAGAGUCCUUUUCUUAGGAAGCACCGGAGUCCAUGCUUGCUCUUAUAUUUUUAUCCAAAUAUCACCUCUAUUAAGGCAUCAAAGUCCCGUGAGAAACACCAGCUCAUGCCCUCUUGUCCUCCCCGACUCCUACUGGAUAGUAGGGACAGAAAAGUGGAGAUUAUUCCGCAUUUUAUAGAAAGAGAAACCAAGGUGCAGAGGAGGGUGGAACUAGCUUCUGAUCCUAGGCUACACCCCUGGCAAACUGGGAAAGGUGUGUCAGGAGGAGUUGCCACAGGCAUUGGCCCCAGGAAAGCCCUGCUUUGUCACUUUGAGAGGACAGGGCACCACCUAGGCUGGCCUUGCCAAUUAGAACCAGCUCUGCUGCUCCAAAGACACCCAGGCCAGUGAGGGGUCCACAUGUGGACAAGCUUUAAAAUCAUAAUUCUUCCCUCUGACAGUUCCCUGAGGUCCAAGACAACCUGUUUGGUAGUGAUGCUCUGUGACCCUCUGGCUCCCUAUCCCAGGGAUGUGGGGUAGAGCUGCACCCUAAGUCUCUUCUUACUGUGGGCGAUAAGGAUUGCAGCCAUUAGCCAGAGUAGGGGGGAGAGACAUCAUCUGCUAAAGUAGGAAGGGCAUGUGGUCUGAAUACCUGAAAUUUAAUCCCAAUCCUUUUUUUUUUUUUUUUUUUUUUUGAGAUGGAAUCUUGCUCUGUGGCCCAGGCUGGAGUGCAGUGGCAGAAUCUUGGCUCACUGCAAUCUCCACCUCCUGGGUUCAAGUGAUUCUCCUGCCUCAGCCUCCCAAGUAGCUGGGAUUACAGGCAUACACCACCAUGCCCAGCUAAUUUUUGUAUUUUUAGCAGGGACAGGGUUUCACCAUGUUGGCCAGGCUGGUCUUGAACUCCUGACCUCAGGUGAUCUGCCUGCCUCGGCGUCCCAAAGUGCUGGGAUUACAGGUGUGAGCCACCAUGCCUGGCCAUUUCUUUUUUUCUUCUUUAAACUAGCUGUGUGACCUUAGAUAAGUUACUGAACCCCUCUGAGUCUCAGUUUGUGCCUCUGCCUCUGUAAAACAGAAAUAGUAAGAAUAACUACCCCCAGGGGCUAUCAGUGACUUCACACAAAGUCAUGAAUGUGCUCAUAUUCUGUAGACUGUAAAGCACUCUACCAACAUUCACUGCCAUUCUUUCUUGAUAUGCUUUAAAGGAGAUGGGGGAAAGAAAGGAUCCAGAGCUGGGAAAUUCUGCUUUCUCAAAUCCUUUCUUGUUACAGUGAGGCCGUAGUCCAGAGAGUUUAAGCAGACAGCUCUAAGUCACAGAGGGCAGGAGGCAGGGUUUGCAUUGAGCAGUGAGGGUGGGUAGGGAAUGAGGGGACUGUGCUAGCGCCCAGAGACUGGACCACGAUGAGACCCUGGAGGAACCCUGCAGGAGGGUAUUAGGGCAGGGGCAGCGAGGUAGGGGGAGCCAGGUGGGCAGUGGGCUAAGGACACAGUGCUGUCGAGUGGGGAUAUGCCAGCCCUGGUUACCAAAACCCACGUGGGGGUUUCUGAGUUCAAAGGCAUGUGGAUGGUGCAGCCCCCUGCUGAGAUAUGACUGCAGCUUUGGAAACAUGAUAAAAUAAACACACGACGUGGGUCUUCAGACCACCCCCGAUUAGCAGCUAAAGAGGUGGAUGGGUAGAAGAAAAAGCAGAGGUUUUCAAAGAACAAAAAUACAACAAGGCAGCACAUCCGUCCCCGAGGUUGAGAAAUGUGGGCUGCACUAGUUUCCGCAUCAUCAGAACUGUGCCCGAGUCAGCACAGUUCUGAGCACAGGGAGAAUGUAGAGCACGUGGGGCAGGGAGGCAGGGUGCAUGUACCUACGAAGUGCUGCCCCCACACACAUCCCUUAAAGGAGAGUUACCCUAGAAAUGAUCUGAGGAUUCUGGUAACAAGAGUUGUCAUUCAAGAUAGGCCUGACUCAUUUCUUCCAUGAAGGAGGAACUGAACAGUCAGCAGCAGAGAUUAGAAUUCUUAUCCAGGCAGAUCUUGAGUGCUUCCCUCCCUCCUACCAAAGUAUUCUCUCUUUUGGCAUCUCCCUGCCUUAUAUUUUGCCAUUACGGGUUGAUCCUGUUGGCUUGUCAGUCUCCAACAGUUCUCUAUACAGACGCAAAUGUUCUGGAGAGGCAGGCCACAGGUCAGCCCCAGACUGUGAACCCAGCUCAGGCAGCCAGGACCCAGGACUGGUUCCAUCAGGGGCAUGAGGGCCCACAGGAGUGAGCGAGGGAGAAGGAUGAGGACAGUGAUUAUUGUUCCCCCUGUAUGGAUGAGGAAACUGAGACUCAGAGGAGUAAAGAAAGCAAUGAGCAGUCUGAGGUUGGGGAAGGCCAAACCUCACUUCCUCCUCCCAAAUCAUGUGUCUUCAGAGUACAUUCAAGGGCAACUCCACGCUCUGUGUUUCAGAGAAAACAAUCCUUCAUGGCUGUGCCCACGCUCUCCUCCCACACCACCAGAUGUGCAGGCAGCGUGGGGUCUCUCCAGCAUCCCCUGUUCAGACGGCCCGUUCGGAAACUGGACAUAACUGUGACUUGUGUGCCUGGCUCUGAAUAAUCAGUUAGGCCAGUGAAAUGGGAGUCUCUCUGUGUGUCUGGAAUUUGAACUGAGACCCUAAGUUGGGACCACUCAGAAGUCUGGGAGACUCAAGAGUGAGGUGGCCAUUACAGAGCCACACACAGCACAAGGUAUUAAGUCAGGAGAAACUGAGGCAGCCAGACAGACGGGGAAGGGAGCAGGGCACAGAAAAAACCAAUGAGGAGAGAUACCCAGGGGAGAGGCCAGAGCUGCCUGAUCAAGGACGAUGCCCACCUCCAGGACAGGGACUCUUAAAGUCUGCCCAGGGAUGGCAGGGCUGCCAUGGAGCAGUAUCCCCUGAGAUAUGGCUCUCAUUUUUCUGCUUUCCUACUGGUGUGUUUUUUUGCCACUCUCUAGCCCUGGCUGUACCACUGAGGACUGAAUUUUAACAGGCAGCAGGAAACUGGGAUUCUUAG
Molecule: long non-coding RNA, 6124 nt
Filed under: Homo sapiens (human)
Lineage: Eukaryota; Metazoa; Chordata; Mammalia; Primates; Hominidae
Description: HSALNT0382053
Source: RNAcentral